GCUUAAUACGGAUAAGCCGCUUGUGUAGUGUGACACACACAAAACUUUGAAAAACGAGAGAAAAAUAAUUGGGUAAACGAAGAGGAAGAAACUGUAAUCUCACGUGCUGGUGAGACAAAACAAGGAGACAUAUAGACAAGAUAUGUUCCGAGAAGAUCCAAAGCAUUCCUCGUGACACUGUUCCUAUCUCCUAUCCUCAUUUCUUUUCAUCUUCUUUCUUAUUUCAUCUUCGUCUUCUUCUUCUUGGGGGACCAAAAACACUUGAACAUAUUAUAUGGUCAUUUUUCUUUUGUCAUAAUCUAUUGAGAGAGAGAGAUAUACUAGAUUCAUGUAUUUAUGUUUUCGGUAUCCGUCGUCAAUUUCAACGCUUGAUUUGUUCAUAUAGAGAAGAAGUUUGUGGAUUUUCUUUACGUGUGUAU
Arabidopsis thaliana (thale cress) is the source of this 419-nucleotide long non-coding RNA. RefSeq annotates it as other RNA. The transcript has a single exon. The record is from RefSeq. Lineage: Eukaryota; Viridiplantae; Streptophyta; Magnoliopsida; Brassicales; Brassicaceae.